Molecule: long non-coding RNA, 512 nt
Organism: Chiroxiphia lanceolata (lance-tailed manakin)
Lineage: Eukaryota; Metazoa; Chordata; Aves; Passeriformes; Pipridae
Exons: 3
Source: RefSeq, a predicted model, not a curated record
CUUUUCUCUUUCUUUUCUCCUUUUCUUCUCCAGGAACUUGUUUUUCUCCUUUCUUUCUUUUUUUCCUUUUUCUGUCCUUGUGUUUUUCAUGCUCAGAUUUGUCUUCGUAGAGGGCGGAAUCAAGUCCCGCAUUUCCAGUGGAGAGUUCAGCAACUUCGCUUCCUCCAACUUUCAGCACCAGUUUCAGCGGCUUUUCCACAUAUUCUUAAACCAGCAGAGAAACAAACCUUCAGGAAGAAGACGUAGAUCUUGGUAACACCAGAAAUAUGCAGAGGCCAUGGCAAAGCACAGGAGGCAAGUGUGCCAAAUAUUUCAGAAGAAGGUUUCUGUUGGGAAAAUUAAGCAGGAUUCAGCUGGAUCCACAUAGCUUCCCUCACAAGUGGAGAUCGAUGGACAAAUGGGAUUUAUCCAUCAUCCCUGCUUUUCCCUAGUCAAGUGGAGGAUUUGGAGCAAAAGAAGAGAGAAACCUGAACAGUGAACAAACUGGAACUGAAGCCUGCCUUAGCAGCUGC